This 253-nucleotide ribosomal RNA is filed under the name uncultured bacterium. RNAcentral's name for it is "partial 16S ribosomal RNA". It matches the Rfam family "Bacterial small subunit ribosomal RNA", at positions 524 to 776 of the family's 1533-position model. The record is from RNAcentral.
UACAGAGGCCUCAAGCGUUAAUCGGAAUCACUGGGCUUAAAGCGUGCGUAGGCGGAUGUGCAAGCAUGUUGUGAAAUCCCAUGGCUCAACCAUGGAACUGCUUCGUGAACUGCGCAUCUUGAGGCAAGUAGGGGCAGCCGGAACGAUAGGUGGAGCGGUGAAAUGCGUAGAUAUCUAUCGGAACGCCAAAGGAGAAGUCAGGCUGCUGGGCUUGUUCUGACGCUGAGGCACGAAAGCGUGGGGAGCAAACGGG